RNAcentral lists this ribosomal RNA (433 nucleotides) under uncultured bacterium. Its description in RNAcentral is "partial 16S ribosomal RNA". It matches the Rfam family "Bacterial small subunit ribosomal RNA", at positions 29 to 507 of the family's 1533-position model. The record is from RNAcentral.
AACGAACGCUGGCGGCAGGCCUAACACAUGCAAGUCGAGCGAGGACUUCGGUUCUAGCGGCGGACGGGUGAGUAACGCGUGGGAAUGUGCCCUUCUCUACGGAAUAGCCCUGGGAAACUGGGAGUAAUACCGUAUACGCCCUAUCGGGGAAAGAUUUAUCGGAGAAGGAUCAGCCCGCGUUGGAUUAGGUAGUUGGUGGGGUAAUGGCCUACCAAGCCGACGAUCCAUAGCUGGUUGGAGAGGAUGAUCAGCCACGCUGGGACUGAGACACGGACCAGACUCCUACGGGAGGCAGCAGUGGGGAAUCUUAGACAAUGGGGGCAACCCUGAUCUAGCCAUGCCGCGUGAGUGAUGAAGGCCUUAGGGUUGUAAAGCUCUUUCAGCUGGGAAGAUAAUGACGGUACCAGCAGAAGAAGCCCCGGCUAACUCCGUG